RNAcentral lists this ribosomal RNA (490 nucleotides) under uncultured bacterium. RNAcentral describes it as "partial 16S ribosomal RNA". It matches the Rfam family "Bacterial small subunit ribosomal RNA", at positions 30 to 507 of the family's 1533-position model. The record is from RNAcentral.
AUUGAACGCUGGCGGCAGGCCUAACACAUGCAAGUCGAACGGUAACAGGAAGAAGCUUGCUUCUUUGCUGACGAGUGGCGGACGGGUGAGUAAUGUCUGGGAAACUGCCUGGUGGAGGGGGAUAACUACUGGAAACGGUAGCUAAUACCGCAUAACGUCGCAAGACCAAAGAGGGGGACCUUCGGGCCUCUUGCCAUCGGAUGUGCCCAGAUGGGAUUAGCUAGUAGGUGGGGUAACGGCUCACCUAGGCGACGAUCCCUAGCUGGUCUGAGAGGAUGACCAGCCACACUGGAACUGAGACACGGUCCAGACUCCUACGGGAGGCAGCAGUGGGGAAUAUUGCACAAUGGGCGCAAGCCUGAUGCAGCCAUGCCGCGUGUAUGAAGAAGGCCUUCGGGUUGUAAAGUACUUUCAGCGGGGAGGAAGGGAGUAAAGUUAAUACCUUUACUCAUUGACGUUACCCGCAGAAGAAGCACCGGCUAACACCGUG